Non-coding RNA from Labrus bergylta (ballan wrasse), 703 nucleotides. NCBI's taxonomy places the organism in Eukaryota, Metazoa, Chordata, Actinopteri, Labriformes, Labridae. The record is from RefSeq and is a predicted model, not a curated record.
CACUUUGUACUUCCAGAUGAGGCUUCUGUCAGUCCUCUGUCAGGGGGGCAGGCCCACACACCCCUCUAUCAUGGGUCAAAGAAUCUCACAUUGGUCUAAACCAAACCUCCUGUUGACCUGAUCAAAGGGAUGGUUUUCUAACAGACCCCUCUAAGACAUUCUGGGACUAACAUGAACCCUCUAAAGUGAGUCAGAUAGAAGACUUCAGACUUUGAAGACCAGGUCUGAAAGUGGACUCUUCAGACCUCAGCCCGCCCCUGGAGUCAGUCACAGGAAGUAAGAGUGAAGUCUCUGCGCCCCGGAGGUCUGCACAGCAGAGUGAUGAAUUUUACCAUGGAGCAAGAGCGCCACCUGGAGCUCUUUGAACGUCACGCUGAUUCUUCAUAACUGGAAUAGUCAGAUCCUGGAGCUCUGAAGACCGGUCUCCUGGGAGUGCAGCGUCCAUCCAGACUCAGAACGAAGAGAGCGAUCGUGUAACGAGGCGGGACAAACCUUCAGCUGUGGACGGACGCGUCCUUUAAAAAAGUGAAAUGUGGAUUUAUCUUUCUCCAUCAUGAGAUUGAAAUGCAGAGAGACUCUGUCCUGUUGAUCUUUAGAUUUACAUCUCGAAGUCCUCUGAUCUUUAACAGAAAGACUCCAAAGAGAAAGAAAAGAGACUUCUCUUCAGACUCCCCCUCUCUCUCUCUCUCUCUCUCUGUCUCUC